UGAAGGGACAAUGCUUGGAAAUGCACACUUGGCACCCUUCUAGCUUUUUGACCUUGUGUUUCUUUCCACUAUAAUUUAAGAUUUAAGGUUGCGAUUUGUAGUCUAGACCCCUCAGCAGAUAGAGUGGAUAUAAUGACUGGUCAGAACGUGCAGUUGAAGGUCUGUCAUGCUCAAUCACUUAAAGCUAUAAUGUGUUUACUGCGAAUAUUAAGCAUGUAGACCUAGUGCAGCAUGGGAGCCACUCAGGAAGUUUAUGCAAUUAAACUUUCAUGCAUAAUUUACCAUGAAAUAUGUAGAUUUCAGCCAAUUCUCAAUACUUAACAUUUAGUUAUAUAUGUGAACUCUCCUUUCUUAAUUCGGGAAUGUAGCAUUAUAUAGAAUGCUGUUAAACUUAAUUUUAACCUUUUUAACAUUAACUUUUGUUUUGGUAAGCCAAGUGAUCUACCUUUCAGCAGUUGUCUGGUUUUGAUUCGUCGAAACUGUGAUUUUUAUUUUAAUCACUACCCAACUGUUGUUAAAUUUUUGUUUCCUGGAAUUUUGUUUUGAAAUAAAAAAUAAAGGCUGUGUUAAAUGAGUAUGUCACCUUAUUAAAAUUCUGUCAUAUUUACUGCA
Molecule: long non-coding RNA, 612 nt
Filed under: Rattus norvegicus (Norway rat)
Lineage: Eukaryota; Metazoa; Chordata; Mammalia; Rodentia; Muridae
Description: long non-coding RNA NONRATT030472
Source: RNAcentral